Molecule: ribosomal RNA, 301 nt
Filed under: uncultured bacterium
Lineage: Bacteria
Description: partial 16S ribosomal RNA
Rfam family: Bacterial small subunit ribosomal RNA
Source: RNAcentral
CAGUCGCCGCGGUAAGACGAACCGUGCGUACGUUAUUCGGAAUCACUGGGCUUAAAGCGCGUGUAGGCGGGAGGGCACGUCCGUCGCUGAAAUCCCCCGGCUCAACCGGGGAACGGGCGCGGAUACGACUCUUCUGGAGGAACGUAGGGGGACCUGGAACUUCCGGUGGAGCGGUGAGAUGCGUUGAGAUCGGAAGGAACGCCCGUGGCGAAAGCGAGGUCCUGGACGUUUACUGACGCUGAGACGCGAAAGCCAGGGGAGCGAACGGGAUUAGAUACCCCGGUAGUCCCUGUCUCUUAUU